GCGAGCCUGUGAAGGGGAGCAAAUCCCAAAAAUAACGUCCCAGUUCGGAUUGUAGUCUGCAACCCGACUACAUGAAGCUGGAAUCGCUAGUAAUCGCGGAUCAGAAUGCCGCGGUGAAUACGUUCCCGGGUCUUGUACACACCGCCCGUCACACCAUGGGAGUCGGAAAUGCCCGAAGUCUGUGACCUAACCGUAAGGAAGGAGCAGCCGAAGGCAGGUCGGAUGACUGGGGUGAAGUCGUAACAAGGUACC
RNAcentral lists this ribosomal RNA (252 nucleotides) under uncultured bacterium. RNAcentral's name for it is "partial 16S ribosomal RNA". It matches the Rfam family "Bacterial small subunit ribosomal RNA", at positions 1249 to 1500 of the family's 1533-position model. The record is from RNAcentral.